UUUGUACACACCGCCCGUCACACCAUGGGAGUGGGGGAUACCAGAAGUAGGUAGGGUAACCGCAAGGAGUCCGCUUACCACGGUAUGCUUCAUGACUGGGGUGAAGUCGUAACAAGGUAGCCGUAGGGGAACCUGCGGCUGGAUCACCUCCUUU
RNAcentral lists this ribosomal RNA (154 nucleotides) under Neisseria gonorrhoeae. RNAcentral's name for it is "partial 16S ribosomal RNA". It matches the Rfam family "Bacterial small subunit ribosomal RNA", at positions 1380 to 1533 of the family's 1533-position model. The record is from RNAcentral. Lineage: Bacteria; Pseudomonadati; Pseudomonadota; Betaproteobacteria; Neisseriales; Neisseriaceae.